Molecule: long non-coding RNA, 1225 nt
Filed under: Notechis scutatus (mainland tiger snake)
Lineage: Eukaryota; Metazoa; Chordata; Lepidosauria; Squamata; Elapidae
Description: lncRNA (ENSNSUG00000018941.1)
Source: RNAcentral
CCCUCCCUCCCUCUUUCUUUCUCUCUCUUUCCCUCUUUUUGUCUCUCUCUUUUCUGUCUUUCUCUUUCUCUUUCUCUCUGUCCCUUCCUUCCAUCCCCCCUCUUUCUUUGUCUAUCACUUUUCUUCCUUUCUCUCUCCCUUUUUCUUUCCUUUUUCUCUUUCUUUUCUUUCUUGUCUCUUCCUUCACUCUCUCUCUUUCUCUCUUUCCCUUUCUCUCCCUCCCUCUUUCUUUCUUUCUCUUUCCCUCUCUCUUUCUCUCUCUUUUCCUCUCUCUUUCUGUCACUUCCUUCCAUCCCCCUCUUUCUUUGUCUAUCCUUUUUCUUCCUUUCUCUCUCCCUUUUUCCUUCUUUAUUUUCUUGUCUGUUCCUUCUCUCUUUCUCUUUCUUUCUCUCUCUUUCCCUCUCUCUCUUUCUUUUCUCUCUCUCUCUCUCUUCUCUCUCUCUCUCUCUUUUCUCUCUCUCUCUUUCCCUCUCUCUCUAUCCCUUCUCUAAUCUAUCUACCUAUUUUCUGCCCAGGCAGGUGUGGCCUAAUCUGUCAAAGGCCUUGGCUAAUCCUGUAUCACCCUGUUUCCCCUUUCAGAGCCCCAGCCCUUAAUCUCUCUGUUUCCUUCCCCACGACUGCCUCUUUUGUCAUCCCAGGCCGUGACUUUACCUUCCUCCCGUGGCUGGCUGCCAGGGAAGGCAAGCCAGGGCUGAGCCAUUUUGCCGCUGGGCUCUCCACCAGCCCAUGUCGCCCUUGUCACGAAUACCUGCAGCCGUCACGUGUUUUUUUCAGUGCAGCUGGACUGCAGCCGCACAGAAAAGAUGCGGCAGCUGGAGGCUUUUUGCAGCAAAAAUUACUGACCUCUAGCUUUGCUUGCUCCACUUCUCCAAUGUGUCGCUGUGGCUGCAUUCUAGGCACUGACCCUACAGGUCCACCCCAUUGAACCCGCAAGUCCGAGCGGAGUGGUGCAGCAGUCAAUAGGAUAAGCCUGCAUGGCCGGCAACUAGAAUGCGGUGCUGGUGGUACAUUGGAGAAGGAGAGCAAAGUCAGAGCAUGGUAAUUUUAGCUGCAAAAAGCCUCCAGACACUGUGUGUCAUUUUUGGUGUGGCUGGACUCCAGCCGCACCGAAAAAAAGAUGUGGCAUCUGGAGGCUUUUUGCAGCAAAAAUUACCGACCUCUGGCUUUGUUUACUCCGCUUCUCCAACGCACUGCUGUGGCCAUCAGCGAUUGUCGUGCAUACGCG